Molecule: long non-coding RNA, 239 nt
Filed under: Capsicum annuum
Lineage: Eukaryota; Viridiplantae; Streptophyta; Magnoliopsida; Solanales; Solanaceae
Description: long non-coding RNA (CANN_LNC013175)
Source: RNAcentral
GGGGGAAUAUUCGAGGAUAAGAAAAUACACUUUUGAGUUACACUUCAAAACAAGCAAGACUUUUGUAAAGGCACUUUACACUGAAAAUGAAUAUGUACGGUAAAAUGAUUGAGCAUGCUUCCUUAUUGUCGAAAUUGAGAAGUAACUCUAUGCUAGGUUUCUUGACUUGCAGUAAAGCAGUUGGUUGUUGAACGGUAAAUUUCUUGUGUGUAUAAGGAGGAAAACAAAGCAAAGUAAUA